UCCUACGGGACGCAGCAGUAGGGAAUCUUCCACAAUGGACGAAAGUCUGAUGGAGCAACGCCGCGUGGGUGAAGAAGGGUUUCGGCUCGUAAAGCUCUGUUGGUAGUGAAGAAAGAUAGAGGUAGUAACUGGCCUUUAUUUGACGGUAAUUACUUAGAAAGUCACGGCUAACUACGUGCCAGCAGCCGCGGUAAUACGUAGGUGGCAAGCGUUGUCCGGAUUUAUUGGGCGUAAAGGGAGUGCAGGGGGUUUAAUAAGUGUG
RNAcentral lists this ribosomal RNA (262 nucleotides) under uncultured bacterium. RNAcentral describes it as "partial 16S ribosomal RNA". It matches the Rfam family "Bacterial small subunit ribosomal RNA", at positions 337 to 591 of the family's 1533-position model. The record is from RNAcentral.